UACGUAGGUGGCAAGCGUUGUCCGGAUUUACUGGGCGUAAAGAGCGCGCAGGCGGUCGUUCAAGUCGCGUGUGAAAGCCCCCGGCUCAACUGGGGAGGGUCACGCGAUACUGAUCGACUGGAAGGCAGGAGAGGGGAGUGGAAUUCCCGGUGUAGUGGUGAAAUGCGUAGAUAUCGGGAGGAACACCAGUGGCGAAGGCGACUACCUGGCCUGUUCUUGACGCUGAGGCGCGAAAGCUAGGGGAGCAAACGGG
Molecule: ribosomal RNA, 253 nt
Filed under: uncultured bacterium
Lineage: Bacteria
Description: partial 16S ribosomal RNA
Rfam family: Bacterial small subunit ribosomal RNA
Source: RNAcentral